Molecule: ribosomal RNA, 32 nt
Filed under: Inocybe fuscidula
Lineage: Eukaryota; Fungi; Basidiomycota; Agaricomycetes; Agaricales; Inocybaceae
Description: partial 18S ribosomal RNA
Source: RNAcentral
GUUUCCGUAGGUGAACCUGCGUAGGAUCAUUA